Non-coding RNA from Zea mays, 205 nucleotides. NCBI's taxonomy places the organism in Eukaryota, Viridiplantae, Streptophyta, Magnoliopsida, Poales, Poaceae. The record is from Rfam.
ACAACUGUCUUGGUCUUUUGGCUAAGAUAAAGUGCACUAUCUACAAUUUAAUAUCUAGUAUAUGGAUCAUGUCCACUUUAAUUUAAAAUUUAUAUUUUUUUGGUGAGGGUCCACUUUAAUUUUAACUUUAUUUUUUGUGGGAGGGUCCAUCACACUGGCUUGCCAUUAGACCAUUGUGUAUCGUAUAAUCGUUGCACCAUACCAU